AGAAGCUUGAGCUGACCCAAAUGCUCAGACAUUUCCUGAAGGUUUGAGCACGAGCCCUUCAGACCAGUUCUGAACAGAGUAACUAUACAGAGGCGAGAGUGAACCUCACUGUGGUGUCAAAGUGUGAAUCGUGAACUCCUCCCCAGUCACCUGAUAUAACGGCGAUUUUCCCAGAUCCAUGCUCUUCCAGAGCUAUUCUUUCCGCUUCUUCCAUCAGCAGCAUGCCGAACCCCUAGGAGGAGCACCAAGGAGUUCGUGGAUUAAGAGGGGAAGGAAGACCAUUAAGAGAGGCAAUUUCCUAACUACAGGCCCACUGGAGGCAGGACGCGGGUACCUGAUGCUGGAAUUUGGAGGGGUCCCGGCUGCUGACAGGGACUACACUCCCGUACACAUGGAGCUCCCGGACUAUGGAAACACCUCCACCCAGUUCAAACCGGAAGGUUUCCUCAGAGCACUUCCGUAGCCUCAGCAGGCCAAUCAGAAUGUCCUGGUCAGGAUCUUCGUAGGACAGGAAGGUUUCCCAGCCUCCAUUGGCAACAUAAUCUCUCCGGACCAACUCAACCUGUUCGAUAAAAAGCCAUGAAGAGCCUCAUUCAGAAUUAGAGAACCAAAAUCACUUUUACAAGUGCAUGGAUGUGUUUAGGCUAAUGUUCAGCUAGGAACAAAGGAUGAAUCAUCACUAAUUAUGUUUUUUAUUUGCCUCCUCUCAAGUAGCACAGGAUUAAACAAGAGUUCAUGUCUUGUUCAUGGACUAUUAUAAAUGGAGAACAAUUUUACAAAUAUUUGAACUUAACUAACCUUGAGAUUCUCAGAGCUAUCCAGCUCAGUGACUGCUUCUAUGUAAAUUUAUGAUGUCCUAUGUAUUGUCUCUAAGACAAAACUACAGAUUAAAUCACAUGUGGGGCUUUCAGAAUGCUUCCCACUCCCCAUCUUGCUUUCAAACCGUCAGAUAGUCAAUGGUUUCCCUGUCCAGUCCCUACUUCUUCCACUAAAGCCUACUUUGUA
Long non-coding RNA from Peromyscus eremicus (cactus mouse), 1005 nucleotides. RefSeq lists it as uncharacterized. Lineage: Eukaryota; Metazoa; Chordata; Mammalia; Rodentia; Cricetidae. The transcript is spliced from 2 exons. The record is from RefSeq and is a predicted model, not a curated record.